RNAcentral lists this ribosomal RNA (468 nucleotides) under uncultured bacterium. RNAcentral's name for it is "partial 16S ribosomal RNA". It matches the Rfam family "Bacterial small subunit ribosomal RNA", at positions 28 to 507 of the family's 1533-position model. The record is from RNAcentral.
GACGAACGCUGGCGGCGUGCUUAACACAUGCAAGUCGAACGGAAAGGCCCUGCUUUUGUGGGGUGCUCGAGUGGCGAACGGGUGAGUAACACGUGAGUAACCUGCCCUUGACUUUGGGAUAACUUCAGGAAACUGGGGCUAAUACCGGAUAGGAGCUCCUGCUGCAUGGUGGUGGUUGGAAAGUUUCGGCGGUUGGGUAUGGACUCGCGGCUUAUCAGCUUGUUGGUGGGGUAGUGGCUUACCAAGGCUUUGACGGGUAGCCGGCCUGAGAGGGUGACCGGCCACAUUGGGACUGAGAGACGGCCCAGACUCCUACGGGAGGCAGCAGUGGGGAAUAUUGCCCAAUGGGCGGAAGCCUGAUGUAGCAACGCCGCGUGCGGAAUGACGGCCUUCGGGUUGUAACCCGCUUUCGCCUGUGACGAAGCGGGAGUGACGGUACUGGGUAAAGAAGCACCGGCUAACUACGUG